UGCACUCAUGGCUUCUCCUAGCAAGGCAGUGAUUGUUCCCGGGAACGGAGGCGGGGAUGUGACCACCCACGGCUGGUAUGGCUGGGUGAAAAAGGAGCUGGAGAAGUUACAGCACGAGAGAGCAUCUGGCUGCCCUUCAUGGAGACAGAGCUGCACUGUGAUGAGAAGACUAUCAUCAUUGGCCACAGUUCUGGGGCCAUCGCGGCCAUGAGGUAUGCAGAAACACAUCGAGUAUAUGCUAUUGUAUUAGUGUCUGCGUACACAUCAGACUUGGGGGAUGAAAAUGAGCGUGCAAGUGGAUACUUCACCCGCCCCUGGCAGUGGGAGAAGAUCAAGGCCAACUGCCCUUACAUUGUGCAGUUUGGCUCUACUGACGACCCGUUCCUUCCCUGGAAGGAACAACAAGAAGUGGCUGAUAGGUUGGAAACCAAAUUGCACAAAUUCACUGACUGUGGCCACUUUCAGAACACAGAGUUUCAUGAACUGAUUACUGUGGUAAAGUCUUUGCUGAAAGUACCAGCAUAGACUGUAUGAUUUCUGCUAUUUUGCAUCCCAAUAUAGGAGUAGAAUAAUAUCUACUAUCAGCUGAUUACUAGACACAUAGAACAUCCAGUUAAGUUCCAUAAGUGCCUGAAAAACAAACACAAGUUUCAACAUUCAAUCUAAGUUACAAAUAGCAUUUCCAUUUUCCAUAGACUCUAAAACUCCCCAAAUUGCUAUGAGCUACCACAGUAUUUUCCUCAUUUGAUAAGAAACAUAAGGACAGCUUAACUACCCUUCUCUAUCCGAAGUGAGUCAGAAACAGAACCCAGGUUUCCUGAUUCCCAAUC
RNAcentral lists this small RNA (830 nucleotides) under Pan troglodytes (chimpanzee). RNAcentral describes it as "processed transcript". The record is from RNAcentral. Lineage: Eukaryota; Metazoa; Chordata; Mammalia; Primates; Hominidae.